This 208-nucleotide long non-coding RNA is filed under the name Pan troglodytes (chimpanzee). Its description in RNAcentral is "long non-coding RNA NONPTRT015808". Lineage: Eukaryota; Metazoa; Chordata; Mammalia; Primates; Hominidae. The record is from RNAcentral.
GGCUUCAGAAGGUCGGUAAUAACAAACUUCACUGAGCUAAAGAAGAAUGUUCUAACUCAUCGCAAGGAAGCUAAAAACGUUGAAAAAAGGUUAGAUGAAUGGCUAACUAGAAUAAACAGUGUAGAGACAUGGUGAAACCCCAUCUUUACUAAAAAAAAUACAAAAAUUAGCUGGUCGUGGUGGUGCAUGCCUGUAAUUCCAGCUACUU